CUUUGAACUGCACACUUUUCAAUUUUCAUACAAUUGUAUCUCUCAUGAUAAUUUUGCCUCCUUACCUCAUUGUAGAAGGUGAACCAGCCAACUGCUCGGGUUGUCUCUGGACAGAGAAAACAAGAGGAGCCAACACCUUGGGGUCCAAAAGUUGUGAUGGCCCAGGCUGAUAAACCAACAGCCAAUGAGACCAGCUUCUUGGGGUGUUCAACCAAGAUGACACACAUUGAGGACCACGAGCCGUGGUCCUCAACGAGCCGUUUGAACCAGCACCUGAGGUCACUGCGAGCAGUCAGCAGGUAUGUAAUUACUAGUGGAAAAAUUGUAUACCAACGGGAAAAGCCACAGCUUAAGAGACCCAUUUUGUUUUGAUGUGUUUAUUCUUUUAAAACAUUGAUAUGGUGUAAGUGUGCAGUUCUGACUAAUUUGCCUAUACUAUGUACAUUUUCAAAUUACUUACUGGGAACCAACAUGCUUUUAAAAACACUGAAUUGUCAUUUCAGCAGAGCCCGCCUGAGGACAAUGGCCAGCUUGAAGAUCCUCAUGUAACACUUGGCAAUCAGAAGGCACCCUGUGAUUUUGCACCUGCCGGAGCUGCUACAUCAAGUCAUGUGACUUAUGACAACCCUGGGUGUCUUCAAGGAUCGUUUGACCAGAGCAGCCACAUAUUCGGGGAAAAUGCAGGUAAGCAGUGUGCUACAAAUGGCAUAGCGGCGAUUAUGACCCACACCACCCAUAGCGUUCUCAAAUGGAAAAAAAAGAACAUUCAUCAUAUUCUAAAACUAGGCAAUGGCUUAGUGUGUGUACACAUCUAUGCUAGAAAAUAAGGAAAUCAGUUCA
Molecule: long non-coding RNA, 840 nt
Filed under: Gadus morhua (Atlantic cod)
Lineage: Eukaryota; Metazoa; Chordata; Actinopteri; Gadiformes; Gadidae
Description: lncRNA (ENSGMOG00000028349.1)
Source: RNAcentral